Molecule: long non-coding RNA, 3139 nt
Filed under: Salmo salar (Atlantic salmon)
Lineage: Eukaryota; Metazoa; Chordata; Actinopteri; Salmoniformes; Salmonidae
Description: lncRNA (ENSSSAG00000115951.1)
Source: RNAcentral
UUCAUUUAUAUAAAGAUUUAUUUGAGAAAGAGAAGUAAAUAUUUCAUGAUGCUUUUCUCCAACACUUGAGUACUGGUAUAGAAUAGAGUAUUACAGCCUCAUAAUGUACAGCAGGGUUUCCCAAACUCAGUUGUGGGGCCCACCCUGGGUCCAUAUAUCUUUUUUGCCCUAGCACUACACAGCUGAUUCAAAUAACCAAUUUAAAUGACUUUGGGAAACCCUGCUUUACAGCAUAAAUAUACUUGUAAAUAGACUUACUGCAUUUCACAAACACUAGCAUUAGAAAUACAGUACUGACAUAGACAAAUAGCACAGUACAACAUAAUGCUUUUACAUACAGUACAGUGGUGGUGAAGGCUAGGAUAAAUCCUUUUCAUUAGGGAGAUGGAUGGCACAAAUCAUUUAUGAACCCAGGUUGAUUUUCAGUAGUGGGGUCCUGUACCAUCAUCUUGAUGGUAAUAACUUGUAUUAUAAAUCACUACAUUCCUCCCUCAGCCAUGUGCAGACCAGACUCAUAUGAAGUUUCAAAGGUGGAAUGGGUGUUAUAGAACAUGUGUAAAUUAUAAUUCAUUGGUGGGUUAAAGUGCAUCAACUUUUGAAUAAGCUUAUCUCUGCUUGAUUAAUAACUGGACAUAUUUUCCUUUUUUGCCCCAUUCAAAAUACCCUGGUAGAUGCGUCAUGGGUAAAACAUUUGUAUUUCCAUACUUAUUCCUAAGAAUAAGAGUAGGCUUUAGCCGGCUGGUGUCAGUAUUAGAGGACCAAAAAUUAUCCAAGGCACUGGUUUAACGGUACUGAUUUACAAGAAUAUGAAUAUGAAAACGUAUUAAAAGAUUACAACUUUAAGAAGAAGAGUUAAAGUGAUGGAAUUAAGGCAGAGAUAACGCAGCAGCAUCCUGAUCUGGGGGUUUGGGUAGUCCUGAGUGCUGUCCCUGUCACUUUCUCUGGGGGUUGGGUCCAAAUAGCUUGGUUAAGGGAUGGGUAGUCCUGAGUGCUGUCCCAAAAAAGGAAAGAGAUAGGGAAGAGAUAAUGAAAAGGAUGUAGCAAGCAGUAUCUACAAAUGUCUGGUGUUUAGGCCCUCAGUGACAUCAUAAUCACAGUAUCUAUGAAUGUCUGGUGGUCAGGUCCUCAGUGACAUCAUAAUCACAGUAUCUACAAAUGUCUGGUGGUCAGGUCCUCAGUGACAUCAUAAUCACAGUAUCUAUGAAUGUCUGGUGGUCAGGUCCUCAGUGACAUCAUAAUCACAGUAUCUAUGAAUGUCUGGUGGUCAGGUCCUCAGUGACAUUAUAAUCACAGUAUCUAUGAAUGUCUGGUGGUCAGGUCCUCAGUGACAUCAUAAUCAUAAGCUAUAGACAAGUCUGUUGUUACAGCCUGAUAGAGAACACACUCACCCUUAUAUGACAUAGUUUUUUAUUUUGCGCUUCUUGAUACACCUGUAAGUAAUGAUGCCAAUGCAAACAACGACCAGGACAGGGAUAAGUAAACACCACCACCCUUAAUAACAACAGAUAAAAACACAACAUUAUUGGAUAAGUAUGUAUCAUAUUACAAUUGGAGGACUAAUUAUUUACAAUGAGGAGGAAUCAUAAAGCACUAAUCAAUCAACGGAUUAAUAUUUUUUUUUUUAAAAAGCCACUGAGGAGUAUAUUAGUCUGUCAGAGUGAAAUUGUCAGUGUUGAGCAGCAUUGCUGCGCUGUGUAUUUCUGCACUCACCAGGAUGUCCAUAUUGAGCAGCAGCUCCAGUGAAGUCUGAACCUGCCACCAAGACAAACAACUCAACAGCCAGACUGCAGAUGUCUUUGUUAGGGAUUCACUCAACUGUACACAGGACAAUUAAGUCUCACUAACAAAGCUAGGAUGGGAAUCAAUCCGAGUGUCAAUUUGGACAAUGCUCCAUUUUAAGGUAAUUUUCAAUUGAGCAACCGUGAAUGUGAUCUCCACUAAGGCAGAAACAUUGCCUUUAAAACGUGCAUUGUGGGCAAAGCUCAAUCAGACUGAAUCCUGGCCUUAGUGUUCAAUUAAGCAAGGGACACUGCAUAAAUAGUGCUGUGUAAAAUGACCAUAAGAUUCUCUACAGCCAGUUUGUGAAAAUAAUACAGAAUGUUUGAAUCGAUGACUCACCAUUCACAGUAGUUGGUGCGAUGCCGAUGACAAGGCAAUCUGAAAUAGCAGAACAGGGCUGAUUAGCCUACAUGCAACAAUUGACAGACGGAGCACAUAUGGAAAUUUGUUUUUGGUUUGGUGAUGGAUUUUUUCUCAUACUCUAUAAUAUAGGCUACUGGUAACUUCCUAUAGCCCCUGGGAUUAUAGACACCCAGGACCAUCGAUUUGUUCACUCUACGCACUCUAGCAUUUUGUUCACGUUGUAUUAUCUUGGGCCAUCACAGAGACACUCACUGGCUUGUUCAUAGUUGGUAAUGGCUGUGCUGUUGGCCUCCAGGGCAGGCUGGAAGCUCUCUGAGACGUUUCUGCACACAGUGUAAUAAUAAUCCAGACUACACAUGGUGCACCUCCCAGAAGGAGGAUAGGGGGUGGAUGUGCAUUGCUGGAAAGGACCUGGCACCAUCAGCAGAUUCUGGUUCAGGUCAUCAUUAUGAUCAAAACAUUUCGUCACCUCUGGGCACUUUGUGUCAUUACACCGGAAACACAUGUCCUUCAUUGCAACUGAGAGAAACAGUGAGAUGUAUUCACACAAACAGGCAGAGGAGGAUUACACUGUUGGCCAGAACAGACAACUCAUCACAUCGGCCAUCCAGUGGAAUAGAGACAAAAGUAUACCAGUUUCAUGGGUUAACUUUGGUUUUAAUCACACAUACAUGUAUACAUACACAUAUACGUUAGAUUAUUCAAUGUAAAGAUCAUUCUAUAGCUGGGGUGGUGACAUUUUUCUCAUGUCAGGCAUUAAUACUGAUGAAUGAUAGAGUGUGUUAUCAUACCUACCUUUUAUUCGAAUCCAACCUGUGAAAUAAUGGACCAGGAAUAUUAGUCUAACGCAAACACUACAAAUUCCUGCAAUCAUUUGUCAUACCAUCUCUUCAAGUAUGAGUUUUAGGACAUUCUUAUCUUUAUUAAAUUCCUAACAGAAAAUAAGAAAUAAAGCUCUUCCUUCCUGUUUUUACUGAACUUUUGGUAUUUGAAGGAC